This 400-nucleotide ribosomal RNA is filed under the name phytoplankton environmental sample. RNAcentral describes it as "partial small subunit ribosomal RNA". It matches the Rfam family "Eukaryotic small subunit ribosomal RNA", at positions 587 to 992 of the family's 1831-position model. The record is from RNAcentral.
AGCUCCAAUAGCGUAUAUUAAAGUUGUUGCAGUUAAAAAGCUCGUAGUUGGAUUUGUGGUUGUCGCGUGCUGUCUCGCACUCUGUGUGAGAUUAGCUAGCGUCGCCAUCCUUGGGUGGAACCAGUGUGGCAUUAGGUUGUCGUGUUGGGGAUGCCCAUCAUUUACUGUGAAAAAAUUAGAGUGUUCAAAGCAGGCUUAUGCCGUUGAAUAUAUUAGCAUGGAAUAAUAAGAUAGGACCUUGGUACUAUUUUGUUGGUUUGCGCACUAAGGUAAUGAUUAAUAGGGACAGUUGGGGGUAUUCGUAUUCCAUUGUCAGAGGUGAAAUUCUUGGAUUUUUGGAAGACGAACUACUGCGAAAGCAUUUACCAAGGAUGUUUUCAUUAAUCAAGAACGAAAGUAG